CUUUGCUCGCAGCACUCGGCGACCUGGCGCUUGAGAACCGCUGUUGACUCAUUGGCAGGUCGUGUCUCUAUACCUUCGACCGGCUCGAUCAGCACGACAGGCUCUCCGGAGAACCCUCCGCUUCUCUCGACUCGGCCGGUCUCAGGCCGCGGCACGACUUCACGAUUUAGUGGAGUUGGUGACCACACGAUGAAUGCGGUUUCCGGAGAGCUGCAGUUCUCCGGCAGAUGCGGAUGCUGUACCGGAGGAUCCGGUUCGGCAUCCGCCAGGUAGGAGCGGCUCGAAGAUAUGAAAGCUGAACAUGCGGAUGCUGCACCGAAGGAUUCGGUUCGGGCCAAACAGAGUCGGCUCGAAGAUACAGGAAAGCCGAACGUGGCCGGCUCUGAGUUCCGGUAUUUCGGUGAGUGAUAAAAAUGGAUUUGAUGAGUAAAAGGUGAUGGGAGUUAGAGUGAAGAGUAUUUAUAAGAUUCGUUGAAAU
Harpegnathos saltator (Jerdon's jumping ant) is the source of this 478-nucleotide long non-coding RNA. RefSeq lists it as uncharacterized. The record is from RefSeq and is a predicted model, not a curated record. The transcript has 4 exons. NCBI's taxonomy places the organism in Eukaryota, Metazoa, Arthropoda, Insecta, Hymenoptera, Formicidae.